GCAGCGAUGCCGCGUGAGUGAAGAAGGCCUUUGGGUUGUAAAACUCUUUCGUCGGGGAAGAAAAUGACUGUACCCGAAUAAGAAGGUCCGGCUAACUUCGUGCCAGCAGCCGCGGUAAU
Molecule: ribosomal RNA, 119 nt
Filed under: uncultured bacterium
Lineage: Bacteria
Description: partial 16S ribosomal RNA
Rfam family: Bacterial small subunit ribosomal RNA
Source: RNAcentral